This 240-nucleotide ribosomal RNA is filed under the name uncultured bacterium. RNAcentral's name for it is "partial 16S ribosomal RNA". It matches the Rfam family "Bacterial small subunit ribosomal RNA", at positions 15 to 244 of the family's 1533-position model. The record is from RNAcentral.
GAUCCUGGCUCAGGAUGAACGCUAGCUACAGGCUUAACACAUGCAAGUCGAGGGGAAACGACAUCGAAAGCUUGCUUUUAAUGGGCGUCGACCGGCGCACGGGUGAGUAAUGCGUAUCCAACCUGCCCAUCACUUGGGAAUAACCUUGCGAAAGUAAGACUAAUGCCCAAUGACAUCCCACGAAGGCAUCCGAAUGGGAUUAAAGAUUUAUCGGUGAUGGAUGGGGAUGCGUCUGAUUAG